Molecule: ribosomal RNA, 259 nt
Filed under: uncultured prokaryote
Description: partial 16S ribosomal RNA
Rfam family: Bacterial small subunit ribosomal RNA
Source: RNAcentral
UACGGAGGAUCCGAGCGUUAUCCGGAAUUAUUGGGUUUAAAGGGUGCGUAGGCGGCCAUUUAAGUCAGCGGUGAAAUUUUGCAGCUUAACUGUAACAGUGCCGUUGAUACUGUUUGGCUAGGAUUUGGUUGUAGUGUGCGGAAUGUGUGGUGUAGCGGUGAAAUGCUUAGAUAUCACACAGAACACCGAUUGCGAAGGCAGCACACUAAGUCAUUAUUGACGCUGAGGCACGAAAGUGUGGGGAGCAAACAGGAUUAGA